GAUGAAGAACGUAGCGAAAUGCGAUAAGUAGUGUGAAUUGCAGAAUUCAGUGAAUCAUCGAAUCUUUGAACGCACAUUGCGCCUUCUAGUAUUCUGGGAGGCAUGCCUGUUUGAGCGUCAUUAAACCUCUCUCAAGUAUGAUUACUUGGAUGUGAAGGAAGAGUACCUUAAACUUAAGGAGUGUUCUCCUUUGAAAUUGAUUAGCAGAUGGUAAUGUUAUUAAAUCCCUGAUGUUGUAAGAAAUAACAGUUGUUUUGUAGACUAUUAUCUAGCUUUAAAUUAUAAUUUUUAUUAUGGUUGACCUCAAAUCAGGUAAGGAUACCCGCUGAACUUAAGCAUAUCAAUAAGCGGAGGA
Molecule: unclassified non-coding RNA, 355 nt
Filed under: soil metagenome
Description: partial contains 5.8S ribosomal RNA, internal transcribed spacer 2, and large subunit ribosomal RNA
Rfam family: 5.8S ribosomal RNA (bases 1-120)
Source: RNAcentral